RNAcentral lists this ribosomal RNA (539 nucleotides) under uncultured Gammaproteobacteria bacterium. RNAcentral describes it as "bacterial SSU rRNA". It matches the Rfam family "Bacterial small subunit ribosomal RNA", at positions 964 to 1504 of the family's 1533-position model. Lineage: Bacteria; Pseudomonadati; Pseudomonadota; Gammaproteobacteria. The record is from RNAcentral.
AAGAACCUUACCUGGCCUUGACAUGCACUAGACAGACGCUGAAAGGCGUUCUCCCUUCGGGGCUGGUGCACAGGUGCUGCAUGGCUGUCGUCAGCUCGCGUCGUGAGAUGUUGGGUUAAGUCCCGCAACGAGCGCAACCCUUGUCCUUAGUUGCCAUCAUUUAGUUGGGAACUCUAAGGAGACCGCCGGUGACAAACCGGAGGAAGGUGGGGAUGACGUCAAGUCAUCAUGGCCCUUAUGACCAGGGCUACACACGUGCUACAAUGGUAGGUACAAAGGGUCGCGAAGCCGCAAGGUGGAGCCAAUCCCAUAAAGCCUAUCGUAGUCCGGAUCGGAGUCUGCAACUCGACUCCGUGAAGUCGGAAUCGCUAGUAAUCGUAGAUCAGCAUUGCUACGGUGAAUACGUUCCCGGGUCUUGUACACACCGCCCGUCACACCAUGGGAGUUGAUUGCACCAGAAGCAGGUAGCCUAACCGCAAGGGGGGGGCCUACCACGGUGUGUUCAAUGACUGGGGUGAAGUCGUAACAAGGUAGCCGUA